Molecule: ribosomal RNA, 810 nt
Filed under: uncultured Acidobacteriota bacterium
Lineage: Bacteria; Pseudomonadati; Acidobacteriota
Description: bacterial SSU rRNA
Rfam family: Bacterial small subunit ribosomal RNA
Source: RNAcentral
CCCGCAAGGGUCAGUCGAGCGGCGAACGGGUGAGUAACGCGUGGAUGACCUGCCCUGAGAUGGGGAAUAACCCGGGGAAACUCGGGCUAAUACCGCAUGAGACCGAGAGGUGAAAGGCGGCUCGCAAGAGCUGUCGUCUUAGGAGGGGUCCGCGUCCGAUUAGCUAGUUGGUAGGGUAAUGGCCUACCAAGGCGACGAUCGGUAGCCGGCCUGAGAGGGUGAUCGGCCACACUGGAACUGAGACACGGUCCAGACUCCUACGGGAGGCAGCAGUGGGGAAUUUUGCGCAAUGGGCGGAAGCCUGACGCAGCAACGCCGCGUGGAGGAUGAAGGUCCUUGGAUUGUAAACUCCUGUCAGCAGGGAAAAAGGGAGGCGACCUAAUACGUCGUUGACUUGAUUGUACCUGCAGAGGAAGCCCCGGCUAACUCUGUGCCAGCAGCCGCGGUAAUACAGAGGGGGCAAGCGUUAUUCGGAAUUAUUGGGCGUAAAGGGCGCGUAGGCGGCCUUUCAAGUGACGGGUGAAAUCCCUCGGCUUAACCGAGGAACUGCCUGUCAGACUGGAAGGCUUGAGACCGGGAGAGGUGAGUGGAAUUCCCAGUGUAGCGGUGAAAUGCGUAGAUAUUGGGAGGAACACCAGUGGCGAAGGCGGCUCACUGGACCGGUACUGACGCUGAGGCGCGAAAGCGUGGGGAGCAAACAGGAUUAGAUACCCUGGUAGUCCACGCCGUAAACGAUGAGUGCUUGGUGUAGCGGGUAUCGACCCCUGCUGUGCCGAAGUCAACACAUUAAGCACUCCGCCUGGGGAGUAC